Non-coding RNA from Lonchura striata (white-rumped munia), 176 nucleotides. Lineage: Eukaryota; Metazoa; Chordata; Aves; Passeriformes; Estrildidae. The record is from RefSeq and is a predicted model, not a curated record.
UACUUCCUCUGUCUUGUCAUGGUCUGACCUACCCAUCACUGACUCUGGGCAUGGAAGAGGUUGCUCUAACUGGUACAUGGAAAAAAGAGCCUGUUCUAACUGAGGGGUCUUUCUCUGUCCUUUUCUUAAAUAUAGUUACAAGAAAACUGGACAAAUAAAGUUAGCAGAAAGCCAGA